UUGUAAUAGUAAAUUUUAAUAUUUUCUUCGGGUUUUAGUCCAUGGCUAUCUAUUAAAAUGAUGUCUGGGUUAAGUUCUUUGUAUAUAUUUGUCAGAGUUAUUUAUUUUUUUCUCCAGAUGAGUACAUUAUGUUGAACUAUGUAAUUUCGUCCGUAUUGUCCAUAUCUAAAAAAGAAGUUAGUGAGUGAUGUUGCAUUUGCUAAAUUACUGUAACUGGAGAGAGGUAUUUGUGUUUAUUACUUUCUCAUUUGGCUUGAGCCUGAUUUUCCACCUUUAUUUGGAGGUGGAAAAUUUCACUUUGGAAGCCAUUCCUUAUUUUCCUGAAAGCUGCGUCUUCUACGGUCAUCCAGACAUCUGUUAGAUCAAUAUCAUUAUUUAUUAAGUAGUCAUAUGUUUCUUCUAAGUAGGAGUUAUUAGUGAAUAUCAGCUUAUAUGUUCCAGAUUCAAUCCCUUCCCUUAAGUGUCUCAAGUAUAGUGUUCCCUUAGGCCACCCAGUACUCACUCACUCAGGACCACCAUUCCAGCUACACAGCGGGGUACCACAAGGCAGUAGUAUUUCACCCACACUCUACACCAUCUAUACCCACGACAUUCCAGCACCAAUCACAGACAGCACAAAUAUAGAAUACGCAGAUGACAUCACACAAAUAAUCACAUAGGCAGGAAAAAAAAAAAAGCGGAGAAAAAAAAAAACACCAACAAUUAAGAAGGAAAAAAAAAAAAAAAUGGAAAAUCAAAACAAACACAAAAAUUUACACUAUUGCCCAUAACAAUGAGAAAAAUGGAACCAGUAACCAUAGAGGGGAAGAACAUACAUUACGCAAAAGACGUUAAAAUUUUUGGGCUUAAACUGUAGUAAAUGGAUACAGAAAACAUAUAAGAGACAUCACGAAUAAAGCACAAAUAGCCUUAAACACCAUCAGGAGAUUCGAAUUCUUUGAUACCAACAUCAAACUACAUCUUGCUAAAGCGUGUGUGUACUAGCAAUACUGACAUACCCGGCCUACGCUCUGAACACUCUAUCAGAUUCUCAGAUACUAAAACUACAAAGAAAACAAAACGAAGCACUUCGCUUUGCCUAUAAUGAAAAAUAUCCAUUCACCAAGAAUACAGAACUACAUACACUUGCUAAUAUAGAACCAAUUAACAAAACACUACACACAGGGGGAAAUAACAUUAAACACAAAAUCAUAAACACUCUCAAAGACACAACCUACACAACAACAAUACACGAACACGAACAAGGAGUAGAACACACCUGUUUCAAGAAACCAAUAAACAAAAUAUCAAAGCAACCUCCGGGACCGCUAUUCAAAGGAUAAAACACCACUUCUCAUACUUCAACUAACUUCUAAGUCCCCUAUAUAAAAAUAAAGAUGAACAAAUAAGAAAUAAACAAAUAACUCACUCAACAGGACGGCUAUUCCGUUUUCUUUCACUCUACCACUUCCUUCAUAACUUCACCCAAUCCUCAUUUUCUAUUCUUCACACUCUUCUUUCAGCCCACUGUCUAUCCUCCCCCCCUUCAUACUUCUCUUACUUUUACACCUCUCUGUCCAACCUCCUCCAAACUUUUAUCUUUCUUAAAUAAAAAAAAAAAAAAAAAAAAAAAAAAAAUUCCACGUCUAGCAGCAUCUUGGCGCGGGGGCACCUAAGAAUCACCUAAAGCAAAUACACAACACUAUUCUCACAAGAAAGAUUUUGGAAGAAAAUACAACUAUCUGCAGCGACGCCAGACACCUCACAAUAAUGGAAACAUUAUACAUGAAAGAAAUAUUCCUCAAACUUAAAUCCAAGCAGAGGAGCUCCAUGCCGUCCCCAGCAUGCGAUGCGAGGCAGUGAACAGCCAAUCAGAAGCUAGAACGUCUCGGCCAAUCAGAUAGUCAGGCACGCACCGCACAGAAAACUGGAUAUAAUGCGGCUCCCUCACUACCUAAACCAUUCGCUCUUCAGCUAUCAAAGAAGCAGGUCGUACUGCUCCGCUGAAGAAUGAUCAGGUAGAGGAUCUCCAAAUCCUCUCCAGCUUGCGUCGCGAGGCAGUGAACAGCCAAUCAGAAGCUAGGACGUCUCGGCCAAUCAGACAAUCAGGCACGCACAGCACGGAAAACGGGAUAUAAUACGGCUCCCUCAUUACUUAAGCCAUUCGCUCUUCAGCUACCAAAGAAGCGGGUUGUCCUGCUCCGCUGUAGAAGGAUCAGGUGAGCCGAAAUUUAGAUAUGGGAAACCUAGCGAAACUGCCGAAGUCAUAAACACACAAAAGAAUUAAGGAAUAAAAACAUGUGCAAGAAGAUAUUAAAUGCUGGGUCAUCAGUCACAUUUAAUGAAACACCACUACAUCCUGUUGGCUCAGUAAGGUUUGGCUGAAUGCAUGAAACGCACAUCAUCAGAAGGUAGUGUUGCGAGGAUUAGAUAAACAUAUUCUUAACUUCACUUUUUUUUUUCAGCACUGUGGUUGCCGGUUUCUAUCUUAGCAAGUAGCUGAUUGCCUGGCGACUCGUGCCCAACUCCACCCUGUCUCUUGUUCUUAAUAUUAAGGGGUACAUACC
Molecule: long non-coding RNA, 2546 nt
Organism: Scylla paramamosain (green mud crab)
Lineage: Eukaryota; Metazoa; Arthropoda; Malacostraca; Decapoda; Portunidae
Exons: 2
Source: RefSeq, a predicted model, not a curated record